RNAcentral lists this ribosomal RNA (253 nucleotides) under uncultured bacterium. RNAcentral describes it as "partial 16S ribosomal RNA". It matches the Rfam family "Bacterial small subunit ribosomal RNA", at positions 524 to 776 of the family's 1533-position model. The record is from RNAcentral.
UACGAAGGGGGCUAGCGUUGCUCGGAAUCACUGGGCGUAAAGCGCACGUAGGCGGACUCUUAAGUCAGGGGUGAAAUCCUGGAGCUCAACUCCAGAACUGCCUUUGAUACUGAGGAGCUCGAGUCCGGGAGAGGUGAGUGGAACUCCGAGUGUAGAGGUGAAAUUCGUAGAUAUUCGGAAGAACACCAGUGGCGAAGGCGGCUCACUGGCCCGGUACUGUCGCUGAGGUGCGAAAGCGUGGGGAGCAAACAGG